GGUGAACGCUGGCGGUAGGCCUAACACAUGCAAGUCGAACGGCCGCACAGUAAGAGCUUGCUUCUACGGGUGGCGACGGGCGGAUGGGUGAGAAAUAGAUCAGAAUCUUCUUUUACGUGGGGGACAACGUGGGACAACUUACGCUACUACCGCAUACGUUCUACGGGUUAAAGCAGGGGAUAUUCAGACCUUUCCUGAUUGAAUGAGACGAUGCCGCAUUAGCUAGUUGGCUGGGUAAAGGCCCACCAAGGCGACGAUGCGUAGCCGGGCUGAGAGGAUGAUCAGCCACACUGGAACUGAGACACGGUCCAGACUCCUACGGGAGGCAGCAGUAGGGAAUCUUGGACAAUGGGCGAAAGCCUGAUGGAGCCACACCGCGUGAGUGAUGAAGGUCUUCGGGUUGUAAAGCCCUUUUAUUAGGGAAGAACAGCAGUAGAUGAAUCUACCGCUGUUCUGACGGUACCUAAUGAGGAAGCCACGGCUAACUUCGUG
This 492-nucleotide ribosomal RNA is filed under the name uncultured bacterium. Its description in RNAcentral is "partial 16S ribosomal RNA". It matches the Rfam family "Bacterial small subunit ribosomal RNA", at positions 28 to 507 of the family's 1533-position model. The record is from RNAcentral.